AUGGCCGGCAUGAAAACCAUCGUUCUCCUUGCCGUGAUCUCGGCCGCCGCCUUGGGCACCGCGUCAGCGGCGACCCACCGCGUGGGCGAGCCGGGCGGCGCGUGGGACCUCACCACCGAUUACGGCAGCUGGGCGUCCUCCAGGGAGUUCCACCCGGGCGACGAGCUCAUCUUCAGGCACCAGCCAGGGGCGCACAACGUGCUCGAGGUCAGCGAGGUCGACUACGACUCCUGCAACGCCACCAGCCCCAUCACCACCUUGGGCUCCGGCUUUUUCACCUACGUCGCCCUUCCGGCCGUCGGCACCCGCUACUUCAUCUGCGGUUUCCCUGGCCACUGCACCACCACCGGCACCGGCGGCAUGAAGCUCAAGAUCGACGUCGUGCCAGGUUCCCCCUCGUCGUCGCCCGCCCCGGCCAUGCCGCCGCCCUCCUCCGCCGCGGCCUCUGCCGGGGCUACAAUAGGAUCUGGCCUUGUCGUCCUGCUGGCGGCCGGUCUCAUGGCUUGA
This 507-nucleotide ribosomal RNA is filed under the name Triticum aestivum (bread wheat). RNAcentral describes it as "partial small subunit ribosomal RNA". Lineage: Eukaryota; Viridiplantae; Streptophyta; Magnoliopsida; Poales; Poaceae. The record is from RNAcentral.